Molecule: non-coding RNA, 26 nt
Filed under: Cricetulus griseus (Chinese hamster)
Lineage: Eukaryota; Metazoa; Chordata; Mammalia; Rodentia; Cricetidae
Source: RNAcentral
AGGGGAGCGAGGAGUCGGGCGAGCAG